AUUGAGGUAAUUUAAUAUUAAAAUGAAAGGUUGUGGUCCUUUUUAUGAGAUGCACCUCCCUUGAUU
This 66-nucleotide transfer RNA is filed under the name Physunio superbus. RNAcentral describes it as "tRNA-His". Lineage: Eukaryota; Metazoa; Mollusca; Bivalvia; Unionida; Unionidae. The record is from RNAcentral.